Molecule: unclassified non-coding RNA, 202 nt
Filed under: Hevea brasiliensis (rubber tree)
Lineage: Eukaryota; Viridiplantae; Streptophyta; Magnoliopsida; Malpighiales; Euphorbiaceae
Source: RNAcentral
AACCACUAAUCAAAUUUCCAUGACGGUGUCAUUAGAUUUUAGAUAUCACAGGUUAGCCACAAUGGCUCAUCGAACUGGCCCGUGAGCUUAUGCCCAACAUCCUCAUCCAGGCACAGACGGCCCAAGUCCAGAUUGUUCCCAGAGUGCCAUGCCGGUGUCCCAUUCUCGUAUCCAUUCCAUGUCAGCCUCCUCAAUCCCCUCC